UACGUAGGGUGCGAGCGUUAAUCGGAAUUACUGGGCGUAAAGCGUGCGUAGACGGUUUCGUAAGUCGGGUGUGAAAUCCCCGGGCUCAACCUGGGAACUGCAUCUGUGACUGCAUUGCUGGAGUGCGGCAGAGGGGGAUGGAAUUCCGCGUGUAGCAGUGAAAUGCGUAGAUAUGCGGAGGAACACCGAUGGCGAAGGCAAUCCCCUGGGCCUGCACUGACGCUCAUGCACGAAAGCGUGGGGAGCAAACAGG
RNAcentral lists this ribosomal RNA (253 nucleotides) under uncultured bacterium. RNAcentral's name for it is "partial 16S ribosomal RNA". It matches the Rfam family "Bacterial small subunit ribosomal RNA", at positions 524 to 776 of the family's 1533-position model. The record is from RNAcentral.